UCUAUUAAAGCUAGCAAUGAUAUGUUUCCAGGUGGUCCUCAUUAUAGAAGUAUCCUCUUCUUGAAGGACUGUAAUGAUAGCGUACUAGUAGAACCUGGGCAGCCAAUUCAAUUGUUGAGAUCCAUAGUAGCCGCGCCAUGCAGGCACAACCUCAUAAUUUGUGUAAAUCUGACAAGCGAGGAUGCACACCUUCCUAGUGCAAGAAUCACCUUUCCUGUGAAAUUCUCCGGUGAAUCGGUGAUGAAUAUAAAAAGGCAAAUACAAGUCAAGGUCACUUGGAAAACCAGAUACUUGUAUCCCAAAAAUUAUCCUCUUAACUUUUCGCAAAAAUUAUCCUUGUAACUUUUGAUUUGCUUUCUUGCUUUUUUCUUUUUUUAUUUAUUUAUUUUGAAUUAAGGAUUGUACUUGUGGAUUGUGGAUGUUGUUUGAAACUUUGAUUUCUGUCAUGGAUGUUUGAAUUCCGUUGUGGAAGUUGUUUGGAUUGCAUUUUGGUUGGAUGUUUGAAUUCACAUCUUGCUUGGGUUUUUAUGCUAUGGUUUUGUAUUCCUUUAGGGAGUUAUCCUUUUACAUGAGUUAUCCUGUUUUACCUUUUCACUUAUCCAUAGAUUGUACCUUUUCACUUAUCCAUAGAUUGUAGGAGCUGCUAUUGUUGCGAAGAAGGAUUGGGGACUGGAGGUUAGUAUUUAUUAUUCAAUUAUUCAAUUUGUGUUGGUUUAUACAUUAACUUCUUUCUUGAGGUGUGGGAGAUAUCAUUGUUGGUUUAGUUCCUUUAAAUUGUGUAUGUUUCCAAGCGAGGAUGCACACCUUCCUAGUGCAAGAAUCACCUUUCCUGUGAAAUUCUCUAGUGAAUCGGUGCUGAAGAUAAAUAGCCAAAUACGAGUGAAGGUCACUUGGAAAACCAAAUACAUGAACACCAAUAAUUAUGUCAAAUACAAGUGAAGGUCACUUGGAAAGCCUAAUACAUGAACACCAAUAGUUAUGUCAGAAGAUCUGGAUAUUCUGGCUGCACAGUCACCUCGUCGUAG
Molecule: long non-coding RNA, 1025 nt
Filed under: Panax ginseng (ginseng)
Lineage: Eukaryota; Viridiplantae; Streptophyta; Magnoliopsida; Apiales; Araliaceae
Description: long non-coding RNA (PGIN_LNC003669)
Source: RNAcentral